GAUGAGCGCUAGCGGCAGGCUUAACACAUGCAAGUCGAGGGGCAGCAUAAUGGAUAGCAAUAUCUAUGGUGGCGACCGGCGCACGGGUGCGUAACGCGUAUGCAACCUACCUUUAACAGGGGGAUAACACUGAGAAAUUGGUACUAAUACCCCAUAAUAUCAUAGAAGGCAUCUUUUAUGGUUGAAAAUUCCGAUGGUUAGAGAUGGGCAUGCGUUGUAUUAGCUAGUUGGUGGGGUAACGGCUCACCAAGGCGACGAUACAUAGGGGGACUGAGAGGUUAACCCCCCACACUGGUACUGAGACACGGACCAGACUCCUACGGGAGGCAGCAGUGAGGAAUACUGGUCAAUGGACGCAAGUCUGAUCCAGCCAUGCCGCGUGCAGGAGGACGGCUCUAUGAGUUGUAAACUGCUUUUGUACGAGGGUAAACGCAGAUACGUGUAUCUGUCUGAAAGUAUCGUACGAAUAAGGAUCGGCUAACUCCGUG
RNAcentral lists this ribosomal RNA (488 nucleotides) under uncultured bacterium. RNAcentral's name for it is "partial 16S ribosomal RNA". It matches the Rfam family "Bacterial small subunit ribosomal RNA", at positions 28 to 507 of the family's 1533-position model. The record is from RNAcentral.